This 433-nucleotide ribosomal RNA is filed under the name uncultured bacterium. Its description in RNAcentral is "partial 16S ribosomal RNA". It matches the Rfam family "Bacterial small subunit ribosomal RNA", at positions 29 to 507 of the family's 1533-position model. The record is from RNAcentral.
AACGAACGCUGGCGGCAUGCCUAACACAUGCAAGUCGAACGAGACCUUCGGGUCUAGUGGCGCACGGGUGCGUAACGCGUGGGAACCUGCCCUUAGGUUCGGAAUAACUCCCCGAAAGGGGUGCUAAUACCGGAUAAUGUCUUCGGACCAAAGAUUUAUCGCCUUUGGAUGGGCCCGCGUUGGAUUAGCUAGUUGGUAGGGUAAAAGCCUACCAAGGCGACGAUCCAUAGCUGGUCUGAGAGGAGGGUCAGCCACACUGGGACUGAGACACGGCCCAGACUCCUACGGGAGGCAGCAGUGGGGAAUGUUGGACAGUGGGCGAAAGCCUGAUCCAGCAAUGCCGCGUGAGUGAUGAAGGCCUUAGGGUUGUAAAGCUCUUUUAACCGGGAUGAUAAUGACAGUACCGGGAGAAUAAGCUCCGGCUAACUCCGUG